Long non-coding RNA from Strongylocentrotus purpuratus (purple sea urchin), 265 nucleotides. RefSeq lists it as uncharacterized. The record is from RefSeq and is a predicted model, not a curated record. Lineage: Eukaryota; Metazoa; Echinodermata; Echinoidea; Camarodonta; Strongylocentrotidae. The transcript is spliced from 2 exons.
AGGGGUAAUUUAAACAAAAAAAGAUGGCAAUGAUGAAAUGUUUCAUUUCUUUCUCUCAUGUAUUGUAGCCCUGUCUCGAAAAGGAAAAGACUAUACCAUCUUCUCCCAGUCUGGAAAAGGAAAAGAACAUACCAUCUUCGGUAAGUACCCUUCUUGCAAAAUUCCAAAAACUACAGAAUGCGGCCGCUCGGGUAGUAUCCUUCUCCCGUAAGCACGAUCAUAUCACUCCUGUCCUCAAAUCACUCCAUUGGUUACCUGUUGAACA